UUAAGUUCAGCGGGUAACCUCUCUGAUAUGAAGUCAAACUUGUAGAUUGACGUUUGGCUGGAAACCCUCCGUGCAUUCUGAAGAAAGUGUUCACUACUCCGACGCACGGCGGCCUCCGCCCACAGAUUGCGGGUGACGGCAACGCCGCCCCCAUCGCCAAGCAGAGCUUGAGUGUUUAUAUGACGUUCAUACAGACGUGC
This 200-nucleotide unclassified non-coding RNA is filed under the name soil metagenome. Its description in RNAcentral is "partial internal transcribed spacer 2". The record is from RNAcentral.